AGAAAAUAGAGAAGUAGAUUAAUGCAUGUCAAAGAAAAAACAAAUUACCCAAUGGAAAUGUCAACAUUAUUUUUAGACACGAUUGAUUUUGUUUUUAUUGUUUUGAGAUACUUAUAUGAACGUAUGGAUUGGUAUUGUAGAUGACUUAAUUGGGCCACAUUUUCAGCCAUUAAAUAGUAAUUCUUACACCGCAGUCUUCUGGAAAUAGCGUGUGCCACCAUAAUAUCCCUUAAAUCUUUGAACAUGUACGACAAUCCAUGACAUGUAGACUACGCUCAUGUAUUUUGGCUAGAGGUGAUUAUCUCCAGCAUUUAUAAUGAAUCAUAUUACAUCGUUACUCUUUUCAACUCAAUUUAUUAAAAAAAUUAUAAAUUAUAGUUUUUUCUCUACAGUUAUUGGUUUUAGGAAAAAAAAUUGAGAAUAAAAAAUAUUUUUAAAUGAAACAAGGAUUAUAAGUUAUAAUUUUUUCAUGACUUCGUCUUGAAAAUAAAAGGGUUGCUAAUUUCACCCACUUUUAAUGUAACAGGAAUAUUGAAAAAAUUCUCCCGGUUAGUCCUUUGCGAAUGCAGUAAAAUUACAGUCUAGUUUCAAGUCUAGCAUUACUGGAAUUUUAGAAAAAAGAUGAAAACUCAAUUUUACUCAGCAUCGGCUGAGGAAGUUUUGUUAUAGAAAAGUCCCAUCUUAAUUUCAUGAGAGCAAUCGCCUUCUAAAUUUUGUUUCAUGAAUUUAGAAACACCCUGUAUAUUUAAGUUGUUAUAAAUUAUGAAUUUAUAACUGCUUUGUAUUUAUUGCGCUCUCUUCAAUACGCAAUUAAAAC
Diorhabda carinulata is the source of this 817-nucleotide long non-coding RNA. RefSeq lists it as uncharacterized. NCBI's taxonomy places the organism in Eukaryota, Metazoa, Arthropoda, Insecta, Coleoptera, Chrysomelidae. The record is from RefSeq and is a predicted model, not a curated record. The transcript is spliced from 2 exons.